UCUGAUGUAGACAGUUAGCAUCUUCUUAGAGAGACUCUCAUAGGGAGACACAAAUAGUGACUUCUGCGAUUCUGGCUUUGACAUGUGGUCCUUCAGAUGCCUUCCUACUUUGUUGAUGAUAGUUGUUCAGUGGGUGGUGCCUGGAGAAGAAGCAGAGAGCAUUUCUGUGCCAAGCAGCUAUCACGAUAAAAAGAAAGAAAAAAGAAGAAGGAGAAGAAGAGGAGGAGAAGAGAAGAAUAAGAAAUGAAGAAGAAGAAGAAGAAGAAGAAGAAGAAGAAGAAGAAGAAGAAGAAGAAGAAGAAGAAAUUAUAACAAUUUCAAAACCUGACAAUCUAUCUUUUAUUUUUUUCAAGAAAUAUUGUGUUGUCUUCUAUAUCAGCUAUUUCAUUUUGGAAGCCCUUCAGCAGUGCACAAGCAUUCCAGUGUUUCUAUGUCCUCCUCACCAAUUGUUGUUUUCUAUUUUCUUGAUAAUAGCGAUCCUUAUGGGUGUGGGGUGGGGCAUGAUUUGUAAGGAUGAUUUGUUAUUUCUGCUGCUUGUUUAAACAAGACUAUUUCUUUUUUUUUCUGACUCUGGAACCACAGUGGACUUUAGGAAUGAUAUAAAACCAUCUACUGCAUGUCUAUAAGAUUAGAUUAUGGACUUCUCAGUGGAGCUUUUCAAUUGACUCUGAAGGGAUUGUCAUAAAGAAGAGUUCUAGGAAAGUUCUAAACAAUGUCAGCAUUGUUGGACUAAGCGCACACUCCUUUUGUCUCUACUGGAUUCAGUGUGAUUUUAUGCAAGUUCUGGUUUGCUUGCUGCAACGUGUACUCAAACACAUGAAAUGUGAUUUUGUAAUCACAUCUCAUGGUUUUAUACUAAGGAGUCUGAAUAGAUGUUUGGACUCUAGACCUAGUGUUUUCCUAGGUCCUGGAUUAGUUCCAAAGGUAUUAUGAAUUUGUUGGCAAUAUCAGAGACAAGAGUGAGCUGAAUUCAAGUUUGGGACAGAAUUUGUUUCCUCUCACAUUUAAUUAUUAACUGACUUUCAGAAAAUAGAUGGUGGCUGUUCCUAUGGCAACAGAAGCCUUAGAGCAAAAAAAAAUAUUCAACAGCCUGACAUUUUUAGCCAAUUCCAUACUGAGCCAAAUGCUGGUUGGAAAGAACCAAGAAUCAGGGCCAAAUAUACUGUUUCUGGCAGCAGAUUUUCCUUUUUAGCUCCUCGUUCUUCAUUGUUCCUCAAAAGAAAUCAUUCUAGUGCAAUCCUGUAGAUCUUGGCUCCCCGGUCCCCUUCCCCAAAGUCUUGGUGUAUGUGUAUGUCUUCCUACAUGUAUUCCUCUUCCAUCUGUCUAACUCGUCUCUGUCUAACUCUAGAUUUAUGUUCCUCAUAGUUGUCAGUGAAUCAUGGAAAAUAUACUUUUAGCUCAAAAGUGAAAAAUGCCAUUGGAAUAAAAAGAUUCAAUUAUUAAAUGUCCA
This is a long non-coding RNA of Cavia porcellus (domestic guinea pig), 1450 nucleotides long. RefSeq lists it as uncharacterized. The transcript is spliced from 2 exons. The record is from RefSeq and is a predicted model, not a curated record. NCBI's taxonomy places the organism in Eukaryota, Metazoa, Chordata, Mammalia, Rodentia, Caviidae.